CCUACGGGAGGCAGCAGUAGGGAAUCUUCCACAAUGGACGAAAGUCUGAUGGAGCAACGCCGCGUGAGUGAAGAAGGGUUUCGGCUCGUAAAGCUCUGUUGGUCGUGAAGAAAGAUAGAGGUAGUAACUGGCCUUUAUUUGACGGUAAUUACUUAGAAAGUCACGGCUAACUACGUGCCAGCAGCCGCGGUAAUACGUAGGUGGCAAGCGUUGUCCGGAUUUAUUGGGCGUAAAGCGAGUGCAGGCGGUUCAAUAAGUCUGAUGGGAAAGCCUUCGGCUCAACCGGAGAAUUGCAUCAGAAACUGUUGAACUUGAGUGCAGAAGAGGACAGUGGAACUCCAUGUGGAGCGGUGGAAUGCGUAGAUAUAUGGAAGAACACCAGUGGCGAAGGCGGCUGUCUGGUCUGCAACUGACGCUGAGGCUCGAAAGCAUGGGUAGCGAACAGGAUUAGAUACCCCAGUAGUC
RNAcentral lists this ribosomal RNA (465 nucleotides) under uncultured bacterium. Its description in RNAcentral is "partial 16S ribosomal RNA". It matches the Rfam family "Bacterial small subunit ribosomal RNA", at positions 338 to 795 of the family's 1533-position model. The record is from RNAcentral.